GGUUCUGUGGUGCAAUGGACAGCGCAUUGGACUUCUAGGUGAAAGAAGAAGGCAUUGAAAGGUUGUGGGUUCGAGUCCCACCAGGCCCA
RNAcentral lists this transfer RNA (89 nucleotides) under Danionella translucida. It matches the Rfam family "tRNA". Rfam says of the family: Transfer RNA (tRNA) molecules are approximately 80 nucleotides in length. RNAcentral also lists the same sequence under 1 other name. Lineage: Eukaryota; Metazoa; Chordata; Actinopteri; Cypriniformes; Danionidae. The record is from Rfam by way of RNAcentral.